RNAcentral lists this ribosomal RNA (795 nucleotides) under uncultured bacterium. RNAcentral's name for it is "bacterial SSU rRNA". It matches the Rfam family "Bacterial small subunit ribosomal RNA", at positions 8 to 796 of the family's 1533-position model. The record is from RNAcentral.
AGAGUUUGAUCAUGGCUCAGGAUGAACGCUAGCGGCAGGCUUAAUACAUGCAAGUCGAGGGGCAGCACGGGUAGCAAUACCUGGUGGCGACCGGCAAACGGGUGCGGAACACGUACGCAACCUUCCCAUAACUGGUGAAUAGCCCCCCGAAAGGAGGAUUAAUACACCGUAACAUAAUGAAGUGGCAUCACUUUAUUAUUAUAGGCUUCGGUCGGUUUUGGAUGGGCGUGCGCCUGAUUAGGUAGUUGGCGGGGUAACGGCCCACCAAGCCUGCGAUCAGUAACUGGUGUGAGAGCACGACCAGUCACACGGGCACUGAGACACGGGCCCGACUCCUACGGGAGGCAGCAGUAAGGAAUAUUGGUCAAUGGACGAAAGUCUGAACCAGCCAUGCCGCGUGAAGGAUGAAGGCCCUCUGGGUUGUAAACUUCUUUUAUCUGGGACGAAAAAAGCUCAUUCUUGAGCACUUGACGGUACCAGAGGAAUAAGCACCGGCUAACUCCGUGCCAGCAGCCGCGGUAAUACGGAGGGUGCAAGCGUUAUCCGGAUUUACUGGGUUUAAAGGGUGCGUAGGUGGGUCUGUAAGUCAGUGGUGAAAUCUUCGAGCUUAACUCGGAAACUGCCAUUGAUACUAUAGAUCUUGAAUUAUCUGGAGGUAAGCGGAAUAUGUCAUGUAGCGGUGAAAUGCUUAGAUAUGACAUAGAACACCCAUUGCGAAGGCAGCUUACUACGGAUAUAUUGACACUGAGGCACGAAAGCGUGGGGAUCAAACAGGAUUAGAUACCCUAGUAGUCC